Rana temporaria (common frog) is the source of this 1743-nucleotide RNA transcript. It is a transcript of the gene named cyclin dependent kinase inhibitor 2C, with no coding region annotated. The transcript has 2 exons. NCBI's taxonomy places the organism in Eukaryota, Metazoa, Chordata, Amphibia, Anura, Ranidae. The record is from RefSeq and is a predicted model, not a curated record.
GGGUAAAUAAUACAGGACAGGCGGAGACGUGGAUUGGUGACAGGGGGACAGUGCGGCUCCUCAGGGGUUAAUCAGUGAACCGCUGUCACGUCUAACGGUUAUUUGUGAGGGAUGGAGGGAGGAACAUCACAGGGAGGCUGAGACCUCCGCAUUACCGAGCCGCCGGACUCUGCAGGAUCUUCGUGAUAAUGUGGCCUCUACACCGACCUGAUCUGAGCUCUACUGAGGCCACUUACUGUACUGAGGCCACUUACUGUACUGGAGGUCACUUACUGUACUGGAGGUCACAUAUUCAAAGCUUGAAGUCUUCCAUCAACUAACUGCAGAUCGCCUGCAUGAUGUACUGAAAUCCCUUACCUACUGGAGGCUGCUACUUACCGUAUUGGAGGAUCUCUACUUACCGUAUUGGAGGAUCUCUACUUACCGUAUUGGAGGAUCUCUUCCGAUCAUAUUGGAAACUCCCUAAUGAUCAUAUUGGAGGCUCUCUGCUUUCUGUGUUGGAUGCUCUCUCCUGAUCAUAUUGGAGGCUCUCUACUGAUCAUAUUGGAGUCUCUCUAUUGAUCAUAUUGGAGGCUCUCUACUGAUCAUAUUGGAGUCUCUCUAUUGAUCAUAUUGGAGGCUCUCUACUGAUCAUAUUGGAGUCUCUCUAUUGAUCAUAUUGGAGGCUCUCUAUUGAUCAUAUUGGAGGCUCUCUAUUGAUCAUAUUGGAGGCUCUCUACUGAUCAUAUUGGAGGCUCUCUAUUGAUCAUAUUGGAGUCUCUCUAUUGAUCAUAUUGGAGGCUCUCUACUGAUCAUAUUGGAGGCUCUCUACUGAUCAUAUUGGAGGCUCUCUACUGAUCAUAUUGGAGUCUCUCUAUUGAUCAUAUUGGAGGCUCUAUUGAUCAUAUUGGAGGCUCUCUAUUGAUCAUAUUGGAGGCUCUAUUGAUCAUAUUGGAGUCUCUCUAUUGAUCAUAUUGGAGGCUCUCUAUUGAUCAUAUUGGAGGCUCUAUUGAUCAUAUUGGAGUCUCUCUAUUGAUCAUAUUGGAGGCUCUCUAUUGAUCAUAUUGGAGGCUCUAUUGAUCAUAUUGGAGUCUCUCUAUUGAUCAUAUUGGAGGCUCUCUAUUGAUCAUAUUGGAGGCUCUCUACUGAUCAUAUUGGAGUCUCUCUACUGAUCAUAUUGGAGGCUCUCUACUGAUCAUAUUGGAGGCUCUCUACCGAUCAUAUUGCCGGCUGUCCCACUUACUGUGCUGCAAGAUCUACUUACUGCUUUGGAUGUUCUACAGAAGUUCGCCUACCGGACCGGUCACCUAUUUACUUUCCUUACUGGAGGUCACCAACCCGGGGGCCCCACUGGAGGUUUUCCACUUCUUGCCCUGGAGGCUGCCUUUAUAUGGAUGAUACAAUCUGACCUCCACAAGCCCUUCCAUGGAUCCUUCACGUGGAAUGUGUAGAUUGAUCUGCUGCUGGAGGUAGUGUUGGUCUUUAGAAGGAGAGUCUACACUUCCUGGAGGUUGCAUCAUCAUCAUCAUCACUGGAGGCUGAAGAAUUCGGCGAUCUGGAGGCUGAAUGUGUGGGCGGAAAAAAAGAAAAUUGUUUCGCUGACUGAUGUCUGGAAGCCACAAAACGUUUCUACAUUGUGGACCAAUCAUGGUGGACAACCCCUUCAAAUCGCACAGUGAUGCGCUUGGGGUGCCCGGCCGUUGCCAGCCUCCUGCUCGGAAAAGGUGCUGACCCCAAUCUGCAGGACAGCUGUGGCUUCUCAGU